UGGGGAAUAUUGGGCAAUGGGCGGAAGCCUGACCCAGCCACGCCGCGUGAGUGAUGAAGGCCUUCGGGUCGUAAAGCUCUGUGGGGAGGGAAGAAAAGAGCCUGGCUAAUAUCCAGGAAGUUGACGGUACCUCCUUAGCAAGCACCGGCUAACUCUGUGCCAGCAGCCGCGGUAAUACAGAGGGUGCAAACGUUGCUCGGAAUCAUUGGGCGUAAAGCGCACGUAGGCGGUCAUGUAAGUCAGGAGUGAAAGCCCUCGGCUUAACCGGGGAAGUGCUUUUGAAACUGCAUGACUUGAAUACUGGAGAGGAUCGCGGAAUUCCCGGUGUAGAGGUGAAAUUCGUAGAUAUCGGGAGGAACACCAGUGGCGAAGGCGGCGAUCUGGACAGAUAUUGACGCUGAGGUGCGAAAGCGUGGGGAGCAAACA
RNAcentral lists this ribosomal RNA (426 nucleotides) under uncultured bacterium. RNAcentral describes it as "bacterial SSU rRNA". It matches the Rfam family "Bacterial small subunit ribosomal RNA", at positions 355 to 774 of the family's 1533-position model. The record is from RNAcentral.